GAUGAACGCUGGCGGCGUGCCUAAUACAUGCAAGUCGAGCGAACGGACGAGAAGCUUGCUUCUCUGAUGUUAGCGGCGGACGGGUGAGUAACACGUGGAUAACCUACCUAUAAGACUGGGAUAACUUCGGGAAACCGGAGCUAAUACCGGAUAAUAUUUUGAACCGCAUGGUUCAAAAGUGAAAGACGGUCUUGCUGUCACUUAUAGAUGGAUCCGCGCUGCAUUAGCUAGUUGGUACGGUAACGGCUUACCAAGGCAACGAUGCAUAGCCGACCUGAGAGGGUGACCGGCCACACUGGAACUGAGACACGGUCCAGACUCCUACGGGAGGCAGCAGUAGGGAAUCUUCCGCAAUGGGCGAAAGCCUGACGGAGCAACGCCGCGUGAGUGAAGAAGGUCUUCGGAUCGUAAAACUCUGUUAGUAGGGAAGAACAUAUGUGUAAGUAACUGUGCACAUCUUGACGGUACCUAAUCAGAAAGCCACGGCUAACUACGUG
This 497-nucleotide ribosomal RNA is filed under the name uncultured bacterium. RNAcentral's name for it is "partial 16S ribosomal RNA". It matches the Rfam family "Bacterial small subunit ribosomal RNA", at positions 28 to 507 of the family's 1533-position model. The record is from RNAcentral.